This 400-nucleotide ribosomal RNA is filed under the name uncultured bacterium. Its description in RNAcentral is "bacterial SSU rRNA". It matches the Rfam family "Bacterial small subunit ribosomal RNA", at positions 358 to 774 of the family's 1533-position model. The record is from RNAcentral.
GGAAUAUUGCACAAUGGGGGAAACCCUGAUGCAGCAACGCCGCGUGAAGGACGACGGUCUUCGGAUUGUAAACUUCUUUUCUUUGUGAAGAAUUCUGACGGUAGCAAAGGAAUAAGCAUCGGCUAACUACGUGCCAGCAGCCGCGGUAAUACGUAGGAUGCAAGCGUUAUCCGGAUUUACUGGGUGUAAAGGGAGCGCAGGCGGGACAUCAAGUUGGAUGUGAAAUGUCACGGCUUAACCAUGGCACUGCAUCCAAAACUGUAGUUCUUGAGUGGAGUAGAGGUAAGCGGAAUUCCGAGUGUAGCGGUGAAAUGCGUAGAUAUUCGGAGGAACACCAGUGGCGAAGGCGGCUUACUGGGCUCUAACUGACGCUGAGGCUCGAAAGUGUGGGGAGCAAACA